GGGAGUCUACCGGGGGAGCGAGGGCUGGGGGCGCGCGCGCGCGCCCGUGCCCGGACCGUCCGCCGCGGCCGCUCGCUCUUCCGUCUCCCGCCUCGUGCCACCGUCUCGUUCAGCCCCCUCGGCCCUUCCGCCCGCCUCCAGCCGCCGGCCCGCAGAAGCAGACCUGGAGAUAAGGAUUCAGGUGCAAGUGGUAUAUAUGCAAGAUGACUCCAUGAAGCACUGGUGAGAGAGUGGAGAAGUGAAGCAAGGAAAGAAAGACGAUCAGAGGGGCAUUCAUGAGUCAUUUAGCACCGUGGACAGCCCAUUGGGGAACUCUGGGAGUGCCUCAGCAUUACUGCCCCCUUCCCUGAGGUCUAAGAGGCUCAUCUUGUAUAUAUCCUGCCCCAGAUCUGGAAGCAGCCAUUUCUCUUCAGUUCCUUUCAGUUGGGAGUGUUGUUUGGAGACCACGAAAUCUGGAUACUCCCAUAUCUGAGUACACACUCCCUGAGACCAGACACUCCCCACCUGAGUUCACUGCUAUAUUCUGGUGCCUGAAGCAGUGCCUGGCACACGGAAGAGUCUCAAAGGCCCAAGAUGAAGGAAGAGAUGAGUGCAUUAAUGAAUGAGUCAAUCAAUCAAUCUGCUAAGCAGACAAAAUAAAGGUAAAAAUGGA
Long non-coding RNA from Nyctereutes procyonoides (raccoon dog), 652 nucleotides. RefSeq lists it as uncharacterized. The record is from RefSeq and is a predicted model, not a curated record. The transcript is spliced from 4 exons. NCBI's taxonomy places the organism in Eukaryota, Metazoa, Chordata, Mammalia, Carnivora, Canidae.